GACGUAGGGCGCAAGCGUUGUCCGGAUUUAUUGGGCGUAAAGAGCUCGUAGGCGGCUCGUUGCGUCGGCUGUGAAAACCCGCAGCUCAACUGUGGGCUUGCAGCCGAUACGGGCGGGCUGGAGUUCGGUAGGGGAGACUGGAAUUCCUGGUGUAGCGGUGAAAUGCGCAGAUAUCGGGAGGAACACCAAUGGCGAAGGCAGCUCGCUGGGACGUUACUGACGCUGAGACGCGAAAGCGUGGGGAGCAAACAGG
This 253-nucleotide ribosomal RNA is filed under the name uncultured bacterium. Its description in RNAcentral is "partial 16S ribosomal RNA". It matches the Rfam family "Bacterial small subunit ribosomal RNA", at positions 524 to 776 of the family's 1533-position model. The record is from RNAcentral.